UACGUAGGGGGCAAGCGUUGUCCGGAAUUAUUGGGCGUAAAGAGCUCGUAGGCGGUCUGUCGCGUCCGUUGUGAAAACUCGAGGCUCAACUCCGAGCUUGCAGUCGAUACGGGCAGGCUAGAGUUCGGUAGGGGAGACUGGAAUUCCUGGUGUAGCGGUGAAAUGCGCAGAUAUCAGGAAGAACACCCCGUGGCUAAGGCGGUUCUCUAGUACGGUACUGACGCUGAGACGCGAAAGCGUGGGGAGCGAACAGG
Molecule: ribosomal RNA, 254 nt
Filed under: uncultured bacterium
Lineage: Bacteria
Description: partial 16S ribosomal RNA
Rfam family: Bacterial small subunit ribosomal RNA
Source: RNAcentral